This 376-nucleotide unclassified non-coding RNA is filed under the name uncultured Gammaproteobacteria bacterium. RNAcentral describes it as "contains 16S-23S intergenic spacer region". The record is from RNAcentral. Lineage: Bacteria; Pseudomonadati; Pseudomonadota; Gammaproteobacteria.
UCCGGUUUGUCACCGGCAGUCUCAUUAGAGUGCCCAACUGAAUGUAGCAACUAAUGACAAGGGUUGCGCUCGUUGCGGGACUUAACCCAACAUCUCACGACACGAGCUGACGACGGCCAUGCAGCACCUGUGUUCAAGUUCUCUUUCGAGCACUUCCACAUCUCUGCGAAAUUCUUGACAUGUCAAGGGUAGGUAAGGUUUUUCGCGUUGCAUCGAAUUAAUCCACAUAAUCCACCGCUUGUGCGGGUCCCCGUCAAUUCCUUUGAGUUUAAGCCUUGCGGCCGUACUCCCCAGGCGGUCAACUUCACGCGUUAGCUUCGUUACCAAGGAAUUACUUCCCCGACAACCAGUUGACAUCGUUUAAGGCUAGGACUAC